UGGGGAAUCUUGGACAAUGGGGGGAACCCUGAUCCAGCCACGCCGCGUGAGCGAUGAAGGCCUUAGGGUUGUAAAGCUCUUUCACCGGUGACGAUGAUGACGGUACCCGUGGAGGAAGCACCGGCUAACUCUGUGCCAGCAGCCGCGGUAAUACAGAGGGUGCAAACGUUGCUCGGAAUGACUGGGCGUAAAGCGCGCGCAGGUGGCCCGUUAAGUUGGCUGUGAAAUCCCCUGGCUCAACCAGGGAAGUGCAGUCGAUACUGGCGGGCUCGAGUCCCGGAGAGGGUGGUAGAAUUCCCAGUGUAGAGGUGAAAUUCGUAGAUAUUGGGAGGAAUACCGGUGGCGAAGGCGACCGCCUGGACGGGUACUGACACUGAGGCGCGAAAGCGUGGGGAGCAAACAGGAUUAGAUACCCCCGUAGUCC
Molecule: ribosomal RNA, 424 nt
Filed under: uncultured prokaryote
Description: bacterial SSU rRNA
Rfam family: Bacterial small subunit ribosomal RNA
Source: RNAcentral